Molecule: long non-coding RNA, 510 nt
Filed under: Prunus persica (peach)
Lineage: Eukaryota; Viridiplantae; Streptophyta; Magnoliopsida; Rosales; Rosaceae
Description: long non-coding RNA (PPER_LNC006947)
Source: RNAcentral
CCUGAUCUUGCUAAUAGAUAGUCUCCAUAAUCCUCGUGGUCCCAAGAAAAUGUCAUAAUAUGGCCAAGAUAUCUCUACUCUGAUUUCAUUUUUGCAAACAAAACAACUACAAAAGGAAUGUUUUUUGAUGGAAAUACAAAAGGGAUGUUGAUCCUAUUAAGCAUUGGAAAGGAAAACUUAUGAGCCCCUAAAUCAAUAACAAUAGCGUACAUGAAAAAUAAAGUUCCUAUUCAAAAAAUGACAAAAAAUAUUAUAGCUUAACUAAAUGCUUCUUAACCCUAUUAUUAACUAACUAAAUAACUAAAUGCUUCUUGAUUCAAUCUUUGAAUUUGAAAAGAGAGUAAAUUAUAAAUACCUACAUUGGGCCCGAUUGCAAUAUUCCUGCAUGCUGAUAUCUAGCUUGGUGGAUAUGAUACUCUCUAUAUUUGCUAGGUCCGGGUUUUAAAUUGAAUACUCCUUCACACUAUGCGUCCUUAAUUUGUUGUAGAGAGGCACAGCCCACCCUCUUCC